This 450-nucleotide ribosomal RNA is filed under the name uncultured Gammaproteobacteria bacterium. Its description in RNAcentral is "bacterial SSU rRNA". It matches the Rfam family "Bacterial small subunit ribosomal RNA", at positions 45 to 486 of the family's 1533-position model. Lineage: Bacteria; Pseudomonadati; Pseudomonadota; Gammaproteobacteria. The record is from RNAcentral.
GGCCUAACACAUGCAAGUCGAGCGGUAGCACAAGGAGCUUGCUCCUGGGUGACGAGCGGCGGACGGGUGAGUAAUGUCUGGGAAACUGCCCGAUGGAGGGGGAUAACUACUGGAAACGGUAGCUAAUACCGCAUAACGUCUUCGGACCAAAGUGGGGGACCUUCGGGCCUCACACCAUCGGAUGUGCCCAGAUGGGAUUAGCUAGUAGGUGAGGUAAUGGCUCACCUAGGCGACGAUCCCUAGCUGGUCUGAGAGGAUGACCAGCCACACUGGAACUGAGACACGGUCCAGACUCCUACGGGAGGCAGCAGUGGGGAAUAUUGCACAAUGGGCGCAAGCCUGAUGCAGCCAUGCCGCGUGUGUGAAGAAGGCCUUCGGGUUGUAAAGCACUUUCAGCGAGGAGGAAGGGUUCAGUGUUAAUAGCACCGUUCAUUGACGUUACUCGCAGAA